Molecule: long non-coding RNA, 1363 nt
Filed under: Anser cygnoides (Swan goose)
Lineage: Eukaryota; Metazoa; Chordata; Aves; Anseriformes; Anatidae
Description: lncRNA (ENSACDG00005003236.1)
Source: RNAcentral
AAAAGGUAUAACUGAGCAAAUAAGUUGCCUUGAAGCUGAGGCAUUUCUAAACUCUUUGGAACCUAUGCAACAUGCAGACACAAAACCAAAAGAUAAUUCUCUUUCACAUGAAAUAUUUUAUCAAAAACUACCAUGUAUCUUGUCUACCUGUAUAGAGAACAUUUUUUUAAAAAAAUCUAUGCUCCCUGUCAGUAAAGAGUACAUUAUAGUAUUACUUAUGAUGUGUUUGUCAUUUAAUGUUGCCGUUCUGGUUUUGAGCUUUAAGUCUUAGGCAAAGGAAAAACGACAAGUUUAAGAAAGAGGGAGUUCCCUCUAUGUAUGUAUCCCCCCUGGAUAUGUAAAUAUGUAUCCCCCCUGGAGCUGUCAUUCUUUUCUUUCACAGCUAAUUUGGAACCAGAUGAUCCACAAAUGGGUCAAUGUCAAUAUUUAAGACUGCUUUCUUCUAAUUGAGCUCAAGCAUAUCAUAUGAGUCUGUUUCAUAAUUUUUGAAUUAACUUUAAACCAUAAAAACACUCUGAAUUUUAGAAUGAUCUUUGCAGCCUUUUCUUAAAGUGGUGAGAUUUCUUUGAAUUACUUGCUACCAUGUAAGUCUGUUAAAGCAUUCGUGGGAACAUAAGGAAACUCAAAUAAACAAACAAACAAAACCAAUAUAGUCUGUUUCUAUUUAUGUGUUUAUUUUAAGAUUUAUUUAUCUAUGUAUUCCAUGUAGAAGUGUUACAUGCUUUCAUUGCUUUCAUGCAUGUCUUACUACAAAGGAGAAGAAAUAAAUCUAGUGCUUUCCUCCAGCUAUCAGAGCCACCCACUGAUUAUGACACAAAUUAGUAAAACUUAAUUCUAUAGUUUAUGUUUGGUUAUAUGUUUGGAGAUACUAACUAUCACAACUCCUUGCAGAAUAAAGCUGAGGAAAAACUAAUGAAAAGGAGUAUCUGGUACACUCUAUAUUUUCUUCUGAUUCUUGGGAUGUACCUUUUAUUUACUUGGAUUUCAGAACUACUGGGUAGUUCUGUUGUACUGUUUUUUUUUUUUUUUUCCUUUGGUGGCAUGCCUACAGCAAAGUGGUUAGUUUAAAAUCCAAUUAUCCAGUUUUGAUCUGUUUUGUGAGAUUUGAGUUUUAUUGCAGAAUGAAACCAUCAAACUGGAAGCUUUAGAACUGAAGUAAAAGGAAACAUGAAAGCCCUCUAUUAAGAUGACUAAUAUUCCAGAUGAAGCUAAUUAGUAUGAUAACCUAUGCACAUAACAGAACUGCAAAAUCAGUGAGAUCAGCCCUGCAAUACCAUUAACUACAUUAUAACUCUUCAUAUGAUUUUUCCCCCACUAGCGAAAGGUCUUAGAAAUGUGAGAUUUCAAUUUGUUUUAUCAUCUG